CGAAGGGGCAAGCGUUGUUCGGAAUCAUUGGGCGUAAAGGGCGUGUAGGUGGGUUCUGUAUGUCUACCGUGAAAAGCGUACGGCUCAACCGUAUUUAGUCGGUAGAAACUGCAGGACUUGAGGCUGGGAGGGGCUGGUGGAAUUCCCCGUGUAGCGGUGAAAUGCGUAGAGAUGGGGGGAGAACACUCGUGGCGAAGGCGGCCAGCUAGACCAGUUCUGACACUGAGGCGCGAUAGCGUGGGGAGCAAACAGGAUUAGAUACCCUGGUAGUCCACGCUGUAAACGAUGGGCACUAGGUGCUGGCGGUCUUGAUCCCGUCGGUGCCGGCGCUAACGCAGUAAGUGCCCCGCCUGGGGAGUACGGUCGCAAGGCUG
Molecule: ribosomal RNA, 374 nt
Filed under: uncultured organism
Description: bacterial SSU rRNA
Rfam family: Bacterial small subunit ribosomal RNA
Source: RNAcentral